UACGGGGGGGGGCAAGCGUUGUUCGGAAUACUGGGCGUAAAGGGCUCGUAGGCGGCCAUCUAAGUCAGACGUGAAAUCCCCAGGCUUAACCUGGGAACUGCGUCGGAUACUGGAUGGCUUGAAUUCGGGAGAGGGAUGCAGAAUUCCAGGUGUAGCGGUGAAAUGCGUAGAUAUCUGGAGGAAUACCGGUGGCGAAGGCGGCAUCCUGGACCGACAUUGACGCUGAAAGGCGAAAGCUAGGGGAGCAAACGGG
Molecule: ribosomal RNA, 253 nt
Filed under: uncultured bacterium
Lineage: Bacteria
Description: partial 16S ribosomal RNA
Rfam family: Bacterial small subunit ribosomal RNA
Source: RNAcentral